This 77-nucleotide transfer RNA is filed under the name Candidatus Geothermarchaeota archaeon. Its description in RNAcentral is "tRNA-Ser". It matches the Rfam family "tRNA". From Rfam's summary of the family: Transfer RNA (tRNA) molecules are approximately 80 nucleotides in length. Their secondary structure includes four short double-helical elements and three loops (D, anti-codon, and T loops). Further hydrogen bonds mediate the characteristic L-shaped molecular structure. tRNAs have two regions of fundamental functional importance: the anti-codon, which is responsible for specific mRNA codon recognition, and the 3' end, to which the tRNAs corresponding amino acid is attached (by aminoacyl-tRNA synthetases). tRNAs cope with the degeneracy of the genetic code in two manners: having more than one tRNA (with a specific anti-codon) for a particular amino acid; and 'wobble' base-pairing, i.e. permitting non-standard base-pairing at the 3rd anti-codon position. Lineage: Archaea; Thermoproteati; Candidatus Geothermarchaeota. The record is from RNAcentral.
GAAGCCGUGGGCUAGCAUGGUAUGCUGCCUGGCUCGACCCCAGGUGGUCGUGGGUUCAAAUCCCACCGGCCCCACCA